Molecule: ribosomal RNA, 541 nt
Filed under: Vibrio harveyi
Lineage: Bacteria; Pseudomonadati; Pseudomonadota; Gammaproteobacteria; Vibrionales; Vibrionaceae
Description: bacterial SSU rRNA
Rfam family: Bacterial small subunit ribosomal RNA
Source: RNAcentral
ACGCGUUAAGUAGACCGCCUGGGGAGUACGGUCGCAAGAUUAAAACUCAAAUGAAUUGACGGGGGCCCGCACAAGCGGUGGAGCAUGUGGUUUAAUUCGAUGCAACGCGAAGAACCUUACCUACUCUUGACAUCCAGAGAACUUUCCAGAGAUGGAUUGGUGCCUUCGGGAACUCUGAGACAGGUGCUGCAUGGCUGUCGUCAGCUCGUGUUGUGAAAUGUUGGGUUAAGUCCCGCAACGAGCGCAACCCUUAUCCUUGUUUGCCAGCGAGUAAUGUCGGGAACUCCAGGGAGACUGCCGGUGAUAAACCGGAGGAAGGUGGGGACGACGUCAAGUCAUCAUGGCCCUUACGAGUAGGGCUACACACGUGCUACAAUGGCGCAUACAGAGGGCGGCCAACUUGCGAAAGUGAGCGAAUCCCAAAAAGUGCGUCGUAGUCCGGAUUGGAGUCUGCAACUCGACUCCAUGAAGUCGGAAUCGCUAGUAAUCGUGGAUCAGAAUGCCACGGUGAAUACGUUCCCGGGCCUUGUACACACCGCCC